Molecule: ribosomal RNA, 308 nt
Filed under: Triticum aestivum (bread wheat)
Lineage: Eukaryota; Viridiplantae; Streptophyta; Magnoliopsida; Poales; Poaceae
Description: partial small subunit ribosomal RNA
Source: RNAcentral
AGCACACAAGACCAAAAAUUUCCCCUUCCACUCCAAAAUUUCCCCAUCCGAAACCCUCGCCGCAUCCACCCACCCACCAUGCCGCCGCCGCCGCCUCCGGUACUAUCGCUGCCGGACGAGCUCCUUCUUCCGCCUCCCUCCGGACGAGCCCGAGCACCUCCUGCGCGCCUCCCUCGUCAGCAAGGUCUGGCUCGGCCUCCUCUCCGACCCUCGCUUCCGUGCUCGCUACCGCGACUUCCAUGGAGCUCUCCCCAUGCUGGGCUUCCUUUGUUCCUGGCACCCCAACUCCGUCCGUGAGGUGGAAGAUA